AGAGUUUGAUCAUGGCUCAGAUUGAACGCUGGCGGCAGGCCUAACACAUGCAAGUCGAACGGUAACAGGAAGCAGCUUGCUGCUUUGCUGACGAGUGGCGGACGGGUGAGUAAUGUCUGGGAAACUGCCUGAUGGAGGGGGAUAACUACUGGAAACGGUGGCUAAUACCGCAUAACGUCGCAAGACCAAAGAGGGGGACCUUCGGGCCUCUUGCCAUCAGAUGUGCCCAGAUGGGAUUAGCUUGUUGGUGAGGUAACGGCUCACCAAGGCGACGAUCCCUAGCUGGUCUGAGAGGAUGACCAGCCACACUGGAACUGAGACACGGUCCAGACUCCUACGGGAGGCAGCAGUGGGGAAUAUUGCACAAUGGGCGCAAGCCUGAUGCAGCCAUGCCGCGUGUAUGAAGAAGGCCUUCGGGUUGUAAAGUACUUUCAGCGGGGAGGAAGGUGUUGUGGUUAAUAACCACAGCAAUUGACGUUACCCGCAGAAGAAGCACCGGCUAACUCCGUGCCAGCAGCCGCGGUAAUACGGAGGGUGCAAGCGUUAAUCGGAAUUACUGGGCGUAAAGCGCACGCAGGCGGUCUGUCAAGUCGGAUGUGAAAUCCCCGGGCUCAACCUGGGAACUGCAUUCGAAACUGGCAGGCUUGAGUCUUGUAGAGGGGGGUAGAAUUCCAGGUGUAGCGGUGAAAUGCGUAGAGAUCUGGAGGAAUACCGGUGGCGAAGGCGGCCCCCUGGACAAAGACUGACGCUCAGGUGCGAAAGCGUGGGGAGCAAACAGGAUUAGAUACCCUGGUAGUCCACGCCGUAAACGAUGUCUACUUGGAGGUUGUGCCCUUGAGGCGUGGCUUCCGGAGCUAACGCGUUAAGUAGACCGCCUGGGGAGUACGGCCGCAAGGUUAAAACUCAAAUGAAUUGACGGGGGCCCGCACAAGCGGUGGAGCAUGUGGUUUAAUUCGAUGCAACGCGAAGAACCUUACCUGGUCUUGACAUCCACGGAAGUUUUCAGAGAUGGAAUGGUGCCUUCGGGAACCGUGAGACAGGUGCUGCAUGGCUGUCGUCAGCUCGUGUUGUGAAAUGUUGGGUUAAGUCCCGCAACGAGCGCAACCCUUAUCCUUUGUUGCCAGCGGUCCGGCCGGGAACUCAAAGGAGACUGCCAGUGAUAAACUGGAGGAAGGUGGGGAUGACGUCAAGUCAUCAUGGCCCUUACGACCAGGGCUACACACGUGCUACAAUGGCGCAUACAAAGAGAAGCGACCUCGCGAGAGCAAGCGGACCUCAUAAAGUGCGUCGUAGUCCGGAUUGGAGUCUGCAACUCGACUCCAUGAAGUCGGAAUCGCUAGUAAUCGUGGAUCAGAAUGCCACGGUGAAUACGUUCCCGGGCCUUGUACACACCGCCCGUCACACCAUGGGAGUGGGUUGCAAAAGAAGUAGGUAGCUUAACCUUCGGGAGGGCGCUUACCACUUUGUGAUUCAUGACUGGGGUGAAGUCGUAACAAGGUAACCGUAGGGGAACCUGCGGUUG
This 1522-nucleotide ribosomal RNA is filed under the name Salmonella enterica subsp. enterica serovar Heidelberg. RNAcentral describes it as "bacterial SSU rRNA". It matches the Rfam family "Bacterial small subunit ribosomal RNA". The record is from RNAcentral. RNAcentral also lists the same sequence under 1 other name. Lineage: Bacteria; Pseudomonadati; Pseudomonadota; Gammaproteobacteria; Enterobacterales; Enterobacteriaceae.